GUUGAGUAUUAGGGCCCGAAUAAAACAUAUACUGCACAUAUUGGACUCAUUUUACAUCAUUUCUCUCUCUCUUCGCUCACUCUUUCGGUAUCUCCUAAACCCUCGAUCUCUUUCUUCCUUUGAUUUCUCUUCAUCUCCCCAGUGAUUUGAUUGAAUCGUUCAUCAUUCUUUCUCAAUGACUCUCAUAAAUUCUUGAUGGGAAGCUUUGGCACAAGCAACCUAGCCCGGCGUUCUUUUUGCUCCAGUCAACUCUCUGGCGAAGUCUCUCCUAUAGAAAGCACAGAGUCAUCCACUGUUGUGCAUAAGAUGGAAAGUGGUGAGCAAGUCACUUAGAAAAUGAAUUCAAUGGAAAAGAAGAGGAAAAUCAUAAACGAGUUCCCCAGUCCAAGGUAUAAUUUUUAUGAUAUAUUAUUUUCUUUCUACAUUUGGGUUCUCCACAAUUUCUUAGUUGUAUAUCAUUUAAUUCAUAUUAUAAUAUAAUAUGGGCUACGUAUUGUUCUGUUAUACGAUCAUCAUGCAAGAGGAAAAAAGCAUAAAAGUUGUGCUUACUCUGUAUGUCACAAGCCUUGUAGAUAGGGUAAGAACUAUUGUUGUUGUAUUAGCAGUAAUAAUUGUAAGUUUAUCUCUCGUUGUCUUCACUUUUUCUUUUCUUUAGAAAUAAAAAAUAGUUGCCUGUAUCUUCUUGGUAGGAUUCUAAUACAUUUUAGUUUGUAACACUAUUUGUUUAAGUACUGUGAGAAUAAAGAAGCAUUCUAUGUUGUUGACUAAUUAUUAUAUUGGAAUAAAAUUGUAAUAAUCUGUCUACUACUAAAACACUACUAUAGAUUGGCAUUGUUAAGUUAUUGGAUAAUUAUAAUGGAGUGGUGUAAUGGACUUUGACUAACCUUUUGUUUUGCAGUAUGAAGAGGAUGACUAAGUGUAAUAAGUUUUAAUACUCAAUUCGUUAAAAGUACAUUUUAUAUUUCUGUAUAUAAUAUAUCAUAUUAGAUCAAGUUGCAUUGUGGAAUUCAUGAUAUAUUUUAUUUACUCUUAUUAGACUCUAGUAGUUAUCAUUGGAUUUUGAUUUUUUAUUAUUUUUGCUGUAACUUGUUUAGAUAAUAUUUGAGACCAAUUGACUGCUUGGUCCCUUCAAAACUAGUUAUCCCGUUGCUCUGAAACUUGAGUUGCUUGCUUCUUAUCUUCAGAUUUUAUUGCAUAUUAUAUCUGGUGAAUAAAAUUAGAGUUACUCUCUGAUAUUGGUUUUAUUUA
Molecule: long non-coding RNA, 1248 nt
Organism: Humulus lupulus (European hop)
Lineage: Eukaryota; Viridiplantae; Streptophyta; Magnoliopsida; Rosales; Cannabaceae
Exons: 2
Source: RefSeq, a predicted model, not a curated record